CCUCUUUAAAAAUCAUGGUAAGAUAGAUACGGUCCCACAUUUUCCCUGCAUAUAUUAUAAAGGUAUGGUCUUCUCUCCUUAAAACCCUACAAAUGAUCUGAUUUUCAUGGACACAAACAAAAGGGGCAAAUAAUUUGAAGGAGAAAUGCUGCACAUGCUCUAAGGUUCGUAAGAGGAAGCAGCUAAUUGUUAGUCUUGCAGAAAAAUUA
Molecule: long non-coding RNA, 209 nt
Filed under: Phasianus colchicus (ring-necked pheasant)
Lineage: Eukaryota; Metazoa; Chordata; Aves; Galliformes; Phasianidae
Description: lncRNA (ENSPCLG00000021363.1)
Source: RNAcentral